This is a long non-coding RNA of Oreochromis niloticus (Nile tilapia), 1508 nucleotides long. RefSeq lists it as uncharacterized. The transcript has 5 exons. Lineage: Eukaryota; Metazoa; Chordata; Actinopteri; Cichliformes; Cichlidae. The record is from RefSeq and is a predicted model, not a curated record.
UAUUGGUAUAGAUCUUACUGGACCUCUUCCAAAAACUUCAAGCGGCUUCCGGUAUAUACUUACUGCAACUGACUACUUUUCUAAAUGGGUUGAAGCUUUCCCAUUAAACGAAAUCUGCAUCUGAGGUAGCCCAGCACUUGUGCUCCAUUAUAUAUAGACAUGGCUGCCCCAAAAGGAUUUUGUCAGACCAAGGCAGAGAGUUUGUGAAUGAACUCAACUCUGAUCUUUGCAAGUUAUUGCAAAUUGAAAGAAGUGUAACAGCAGCAUACCAUCCACAGACCAAUGGUCUAGAUGAAAAGACCAACGACAACAUAAAAAGAGCCCUCUGAAAACUGGUGAAUGACCAGCAGAAUAACUGGGAUGUGUAUCUAGAUCCCACCCUGUUUUCACUGCGGUCAAAAGUACACACCACAACAAAAUACACACCUUUUUUUGUGAUGUAUGGAAGAGAGGCAGUAUUUCCAUCAGAAGUGCCUGCUCAAGUGCCGAUUUCCAACAUCAUUCUGCCAGACGACAAAAGGUACAGUGACUAUGUACAGUCUGAAAGUGAAGCACAACAUGCAGUUAAAGAAACUGCACAAGAAAACAUAGCAAAGUCACAAGACAAGCAAAAGGUUGCAUCGCCAAGCGGGCCCUGAAAAAGUACAAAAAUGUUGUGUACAAUGUAGGGGAUCAAAUUCUGCUUCUAAAUAUGAGGAAACGUGGGCGAAAAGGAGGAAGACUUGAACCGGAUUUUUCAGGUCCCUACACAAUUGAUGACAUCAGUGGAAAAUGUGUUAGACGGAAAAACGCUGAGGGAAAUACUUUAAAAAGUCUAUACAGUAUUGACCACAUUAAACCCUAUAGAAGAAGCCACCCUGUCCAAGUCUCAACUCCAACUCAACCUGUUGAGAGUAGCCCAACUUCUGAGAUGUGGCCUUGCAGUCCUCAGCAUCAUCAUGAAGUGCUGCAAAAUAACAGACCCUCUGUCAUACAGUUUCCACCAAAAAUAGCUCAGGUAAAAUCAGUCCAAGCACCAGAAGAGCUUGUACCAGUGACCCCCCCAGAAACCCAGCAUGCAAGAAAAAGGUGGCAUAGCUAAAAAUGUCAUUUUGACCGGUUGGUCAGUUGUUGCCAGUUUGGCUAGUUGAAUGGAUAGAAUGUUUUAUUUUCUUCUCCCCUCUUGCUAAUUUUGACCUGUUGGUCAAAUUUUGGCUAAUUUCUGAUUUAUAGAAAGCGGCUCCCCUCUGGCAUGUUUAUUUUGUUGGCUCGUUGGCCCUUGUCUGCUUGUGGCCCGUUGGCCAUUGACCGUGAUUUUCAAAUGGAAACUGUUAUUACUAAAGAAACUUAUCAUAUUUUGUUUUUUAGUGAAGUGGCUUUGGGCUGCAAAAGACACCGGGCGUGUGGAGGCAGUCGUUGGGCCAUACAAAUUGUAUGACUCUUCUUUUCGCACACUGGAGGACAGUGGGUGGCUUUCUGAUGAGGUCAUUGAUGCAUACCUGCACUGCCUCAUUAGGAAACAAAAGGCA